Onychomys torridus (southern grasshopper mouse) is the source of this 1389-nucleotide long non-coding RNA. RefSeq lists it as uncharacterized. The transcript is spliced from 4 exons. The record is from RefSeq and is a predicted model, not a curated record. Lineage: Eukaryota; Metazoa; Chordata; Mammalia; Rodentia; Cricetidae.
GAUCCCAAAUGUCAGCCCCGGCUCCUCGUAGGAAUUUGUUGUCUGCCUGGAUUUCUGAUGUCACUAUACCUGAUUCGCUCAGUCUGGCAACCUGGCCUACCCGGUCGGUGUAGGACAGAUGUGACCUGCUGAGCCGCUGGUGACCCAACCCCCCUCCCCUCCCCUCCCAGAGUGGGCACCCGGGGUACUCACCAUAUCGGCACCGGUACUGACAGACUCCGUUCUUCCCUCCCAGCAGCUCCAUGAAGGAAUCCACGUAGCUGUUGACCGACUCGAAGCUGCCCCGCAGCUGCCGAAGGCCCCAGUCCGAGUAAGACUCCUCUCCCUUGAGGCUGGGGUCGCUCUGAGCCAGGCUGCCCGCCAGGCCAAGCCACAGGAGGAAGAAGGCGCAGGGCAGCUCCAUCCUGCACAUCAGUAGGACGCUGCUCUCGUCCCCCCACCCCAGCCAGGGUCCCAGGAAGCCUGGGGACACACACAGCCCCGUGCCUGGGCUUAUCGGAACAGUCAGCCUGUGUUCCCCAGAGGUGGACUUUAAACACAGCCAUGGAGGCCGGGAGCAGAUCUGAGCGAUUAGAGAGGGCAAAGGCAAGCACCUACUUCUUUCGCAUGUGAUUACUCGGGGUAUCUCAUGAAGUGGAGAAGAGCAUUUGUGUGACUGACUUCACCAAGCUUCAUCCAUGUUGAGCGCGUCAGGAGCAAUCCCAUCACCCCUCUCAAAGGCUGUCAGAACUCUACUGCGCAUCACAGACAGCACAGCCUGGACCUGUGUCACCUGCCCAUCGCAGUGACACACCCAUGUGGCAGUCGACAGAGAGGGCAGGUGCAGCACAGACGAGAGCGAAGGUACAAAUGCCGGAGAGGGACAUGUGUCCGCUCUUGUCUGAGAGACUCCAGACGAGCAGCCUGGGGACUUCCUGAUGGCAGGAAAUGUAAAAGGAAGAGUCUCCUGGAGAAGCAGGAAUAACUUCAGAUGCUGCGGUUGCUUACCUGUAAUUCCUCUGCUGUGGAAACAUCUAGUCCUGUGAGAUCUUGUAUUCUCAUGUUAAUUCUAGACACCACAGGGUCUUCAUAGCCAGCCAGCCAAGCACUAGGACAAGAAAAUAUCAGUUUUAUGGCUACUAUUUCAUUAGAUAAAAGCCCAACAGCUGCCACUUUCAAAGCAACACAGAGGACAUUAGACUUCUUCAACACAGUGUUAGAGAUCAAAUCCAGCCAGGACACUGCAUGCUAACCCAAUGUCUAUCGUGACGCUUCCUUCUCAUCCUUAGUUUUCUGAGUUUCACUGUGGAGUUCAGGCUGGCCUUCAUCUGCAGUGCCCCUUGAUUCAGUCUCCCAAGUACUAGGAUAACUAUGUAAACUACCAUACCCAGCUGGAUAAUAAACUUAAUA